This is a long non-coding RNA of Musa acuminata AAA Group (dessert banana), 1320 nucleotides long. RefSeq lists it as uncharacterized. The transcript has 7 exons. The record is from RefSeq and is a predicted model, not a curated record. Lineage: Eukaryota; Viridiplantae; Streptophyta; Magnoliopsida; Zingiberales; Musaceae.
CGACGAGGAGCGUCUCGCAUUUCAAGAGGCAGGAGGAGAGGGAAAGGCUGGGGCUGAGAUUAUGGCGGGCUAGAGAUGGAGGUCACUGAGAAUGUUACACGUGCCAAUUGAAAUUAAGCAUGAUAAACUAGAUAUCCACAAAAGCAGCCCGAAGUGGACACCACACAUCCAGCGCUGGAACAUCAUGGCUAUUGUUAAAUGCAGUAUCAGUGCACUCCGCUUUGGAGCUUUCCAAGACGAGUCUGCUAAGAGAUGCAAAAGAGACAGGAGAGCUAUCGUGGUUGAUUCAUUAGAGAUCUCCUUGCCGAUGACCUGAAACAACACAUGCAACUCCAGCGAGAAGAGGAGAGGGAGGCAUGUACACUACCAUGUCUAUGUCGGAUGAGAAAGGCGACCAGCUCAGCUGUGGUUUCUGGAAAGAACAUAUGUUUGCUUGCUGACUGACAACUUUGUUGUCCUUCAAGAGCACCAGGUGGAUGUAGUAAGUCUUGAAAGGACACGUAAUCCACCCACAAUGAUGUGCUAUUAGAUAGUGUUAUCAUCGCUGGUGGACUUUGGCUUUGAUAUUUGAAUCUGAAGCGUGACACGUGGAUGGUUCUGAAUCGGCUUCUGCAUUUUAAUUUGUGGUACUGAAUUUUUUUUUACUUUUUUAAAUUACUUUCUAUCGUCGUAUUUUAUCUUUAAAAAACUCAAUAAUAUUGGGCUCGCCGAGGCUGCCGCCUUAACUGGAUCGAGCCGGGCCGAUAGUGCGGCCCAAUCUGGUGAGCUGGGCAUCGCCGGUCCACGGCCGAUUCUUUUCGACCGGAGAUCACACGGAAGAUAUACCCUUUUCCUUACCUUUCCGUCUCUCAUACCCGGCCCCACUAUGGGACCCAUAGCUAAUGGAGAUCCCGCCCCGUCGUUCGAAAGCCCCGCCUCGCUCCUCAUUUUUUAAAAGGGCUCGAUCCGAGACCACCGGAGGCUCUUCUUUCUCCCCGCCAUGGUAAGCCCUAACCCUGCUCCCUCCUCCUCACUUCGUGGAACCCUAAUCUCUCCCCGCUGGUUCUUCGUGGGUUCCUUCGACUCUCGUCUCGUCGAUCUUGUUCGUGCUGGGGGUAUCGAUCUCGGUGCCGGCGGUCGGAGCAAGAAGGCCAGACGCACCGCCCCGAGGUUUCUAGCGUGGAGGACGGAAGCAAGUUUACCACGGCGAUACGAGAACGGCUCUUCACGAGCAAGAUUAACCAGCCGUCCGUAUCCCUCGACGGGCUUAUCAGUUUCACGGAAGGUAUGGUCCGAUCUUUCUUCUUGGUUCACAAGUGUUUGUAUCAACUCUCUGCAUUU